ACCCCGAGGACACUUGACGACAUCCUCCUGCUGAAAAUACGUGGGAGGGCGAGAAGAGCGGUCAUCUAAUGCAGAUCCGCCAUCACACGUCCUUCGGCUCAGGCAUCCUGCCGCUUCAACUCAAAGCUGCUGCUAGAGGGCCAGCGAGCAGGAGAGAUGGAGGAGAGAUGAAGAUGGUCCAUCUGUGAGCUCAGGGUGGAGGACCCGAUGGAGGACCCGAUGGAGGCGAACGACGCGGCUGCCGAGGCGGCCCGAUGGCCGAAGCCUGAUGGGAUGCCGACCAAAUGCAAGUCAAAAGGCCCACCGGUCCGCGGUAAACACGCCCACGGAUCACACUGGUCGUAAACAUCUCUCUGCACGGCUUCAAGAAUGAUCCACAAUCUCAGUGGCAACUAGUGUCUGUCGCACCAUGUAAAACAUGCGAGGUCACAUGAUGUCUGGACAAGGACUGAGGGCACACAAAGUCAACGGACCCUGACCGAAACGAGUGGGAAGUUGCAGCAGAACGGGGAA
Gasterosteus aculeatus aculeatus (three-spined stickleback) is the source of this 513-nucleotide long non-coding RNA. Lineage: Eukaryota; Metazoa; Chordata; Actinopteri; Perciformes; Gasterosteidae. The record is from Ensembl.